AUUGAACGCUGGCGGCAUGCCUUACACAUGCAAGUCGAACGGCAGCACGGGAGCAAUCCUGGUGGCGAGUGGCGAACGGGUGAGUAAUAUAUCGGAACGUGCCCAGUCGUGGGGGAUAACGUAGCGAAAGCUACGCUAAUACCGCAUACGAUCUAUGGAUGAAAGCGGGGGAGUCGCAAGACCUCGCGCGAUUGGAGCGGCCGAUAUCAGAUUAGGUAGUUGGUGGGGUAAAAGCCUACCAAGCCUUCGAUCUGUAGCUGGUCUGAGAGGACGACCAGCCACACUGGAACUGAGACACGGUCCAGACUCCUACGGGAGGCAGCAGUGGGGAAUUUUGGACAAUGGGCGCAAGCCUGAUCCAGCAAUGCCGCGUGCAGGAUGAAGGCCUUCGGGUUGUAAACGUAGCGUUUUGUCUAGGGAAGGAAAUACUUCU
This 433-nucleotide ribosomal RNA is filed under the name uncultured bacterium. Its description in RNAcentral is "bacterial SSU rRNA". It matches the Rfam family "Bacterial small subunit ribosomal RNA", at positions 30 to 458 of the family's 1533-position model. The record is from RNAcentral.